RNAcentral lists this ribosomal RNA (88 nucleotides) under Bacteroidales bacterium. The record is from RNAcentral. Lineage: Bacteria; Pseudomonadati; Bacteroidota; Bacteroidia; Bacteroidales.
CCUCUUCCCAUUCCGAACAGAGAAGUUAAGCCCUCCUGCGCCGAUGGUACUGCAGAGCAAAAUGUGGGAGAGUAGGUCGCCGCCGACU